This 601-nucleotide ribosomal RNA is filed under the name uncultured bacterium. RNAcentral describes it as "bacterial SSU rRNA". It matches the Rfam family "Bacterial small subunit ribosomal RNA", at positions 338 to 1414 of the family's 1533-position model. The record is from RNAcentral.
CCUACGGGAGGCAGCAGUGGGGAAUUUUCCGCAAUGGGCGAAAGCCUGACGGAGCAACGCCGCGUGAGGGAUGAAGGCCUCUGGGCUGUAAACCUCUUUUAUCAAGGAAGAAGAUCUGACGGUACUUGAUGAAUAAGCCACGGCUAAUUCCGUGCCAGCAGCCGCGGUAAUACGGGAGUGGCAAGCGUUAUCCGGAAUUAUUGGGCGUAAAGCGUCCGCAGGCGGUCUUGUAAGUCUGUCGUUAAAGCGUGGAGCUUAACUCCAUUUCGGCGGUGGAAACUACAAGACUAGAGUGUGGUAGGGGCAGAGGGAAUUCCCGGUGUAGCGGUGAAAUGCGUAGAUAUCGGGAAGAACACCAGUGGCGAAGGCGCUCUGCUGGGCCAUAACUGACGCUCAUGGACGAAAGCUAGGGGAGCGAAAGGGAUUAGAUACCCCUGUAGUCCUAGCCGUAAACGAUGAACACUAGGUGUCGGGGGAAUCGACCCCCUCGGUGUCGUAGCUAACGCGUUAAGUGUUCCGCCGUGGUGGUACGCGCGCGAGUGUGAACGUACAAGAAGUAGUACGGCGUGAGACGNGCCGACGGCGACGACGAGGGAGUAGG